RNAcentral lists this unclassified non-coding RNA (253 nucleotides) under air metagenome. Its description in RNAcentral is "partial contains small subunit ribosomal RNA, internal transcribed spacer 1, and 5.8S ribosomal RNA". The stretch from base 1 to 46 matches the Rfam family "Eukaryotic small subunit ribosomal RNA", at positions 1786 to 1831 of the family's 1831-position model. The record is from RNAcentral.
AAGUCGUAACAAGGUUUUCGUAGGUGAACCUGCGGAAGGAUCAUUAGUGAAACAUAAGAGUGCUCUUUAUUGAGGCUCGUUUAACUAUCCAUUACACUUUGUGCAUUUGAAACAUUACUUGGAUGCUUUGGGCUUCGGUCCUCUGUGUUGCUAUCAAGUAUCUUUACACAACCCCAUUGCUUUACAUGAGAUGAUGAUGUUACAUAAUUUGAAAUGAAAGAAACAACUUUCAGCAACGGAUGUCUUGGCUCUC